GAUGAACGCUGACAGAAUGCUUAACACAUGCAAGUCAACUUGAACUUCGGUUUGGGUGGCGGUCGGGUGAGUAACGCGUACAGAACUUGCCUCACAGAUAGGGACAACAUUUGGAAACGCAGGCUAAUCCCUGAUAUGAUGAUUAUACGGCAUCGUAUAAUUAUGAGAGCUAUAUGCGCUGUGAGAGAGCUUUGCGUCCCAUUAGCUAGUUGGAGAGGUCACGGCUCACCAAGGCGAUGAUGGGUAGCCGGCCUGAGAGGGUGAUCGGCCACAAGGGGAGUGAGACACGGCCAUUAGUCCUACGGGAGGCAGAAGUGGGGAAUAUUGGACAAUGGAACAAGAGUCUGAUCAAGGAAUUCUGUGUGCACGAUGAAGUUUUUGGGAAUGAAAAGGGCUUUCAGUUGGGAAGAAAAAAAUGACGGUACCAACAGAAGAAGUGACGGCUAAAUACGUG
Molecule: ribosomal RNA, 454 nt
Filed under: uncultured bacterium
Lineage: Bacteria
Description: partial 16S ribosomal RNA
Rfam family: Bacterial small subunit ribosomal RNA
Source: RNAcentral